GGACAAGAGUGUUUGUGGAUGAACUGAUGACAGGAAACGUCUCCAUGAAAAUCUUCAAAGUGAAAGUUUCUGAUACAGGAAGAUACCAAUGUGUCCUUCCCUCAUUACAGAAGGAAGCUUCCAUCCAGCUCAUUGUUGGAUCUGAUGUGUGAACUGGGGUGGCCAGACAUUGGGGAGAGUCUGAUGUGAUUGGCUCAGACAAACCAGUUACAGUAACAGUCGGUGAUAACACCAUCCUGCCAUGUCACCUGGAGCCGCCAUUUGAUGUGAGGACUCUAACAGUGGAGUGGAAACGUG
Molecule: long non-coding RNA, 297 nt
Organism: Dicentrarchus labrax (European seabass)
Lineage: Eukaryota; Metazoa; Chordata; Actinopteri; Moronidae
Exons: 3
Source: RefSeq, a predicted model, not a curated record